Molecule: non-coding RNA, 26 nt
Filed under: Homo sapiens (human)
Lineage: Eukaryota; Metazoa; Chordata; Mammalia; Primates; Hominidae
Source: RNAcentral
CAACACUGUGGUCUUUCCACUCAAGG